This 368-nucleotide ribosomal RNA is filed under the name uncultured Comamonadaceae bacterium. RNAcentral describes it as "bacterial SSU rRNA". It matches the Rfam family "Bacterial small subunit ribosomal RNA", at positions 64 to 438 of the family's 1533-position model. The record is from RNAcentral. Lineage: Bacteria; Pseudomonadati; Pseudomonadota; Betaproteobacteria; Burkholderiales; Comamonadaceae.
GAACGGUAGAGGGGGCAACCCCUUGAGAGUGGCGAACGGGUGAGUAAUAUAUCGGAACGUGCCCAGUCGUGGGGGAUAACGUAGUGAAAAUUACGCUAAUACCGCAUACGAUCUAAGGAUGAAAGCGGGGGACCGUAAGGCCUCGCGCGAUUGGAGCGGCCGAUAUCAGAUUAGGUAGUUGGUAGGGUAAAGGCCUACCAAGCCAACGAUCUGUAGCUGGUCUGAGAGGACGACCAGCCACACUGGAACUGAGACACGGUCCGGACUCCUACGGGAGGCAGCAGUGGGGAAUUUUGGACAAUGGGCGAAAGCCUGAUCCAGCCAUUCCGCGUGCAGGAUGAAGGCCCUCGGGUUGUAAACUGCUUUUG